AUAUGGUCAAGUGAAGAAGCGCAUACGGUGGAUGCCUUGGCAGUCAGAGGCGAUGAAAGACGUGGUAGCCUGCGAAAAGCUUCGGGGAGUCGGCAAACAGACUUUGAUCCGGAGAUGUCUGAAUGGGGGAACCCAGCCAUCAUAAGAUGGUUAUCUUGUACUGAAUACAUAGGUGCAAGAGGCGAACCAGGGGAACUGAAACAUCUAAGUACCCUGAGGAAAAGAAAUCAACCGAGAUUCCCUUAGUAGUGGCGAGCGAACGGGGACUAGCCCUUAAGUGGCUUUGAGAUUAGCGGAACGCUCUGGAAAGUGCGGCCAUAGUGGGUGAUAGCCCUGUACGCGAAAAUCUCUUAGUCAUGAAAUCGAGUAGGACGGGGCACGAGAAACCUUGUCUGAAUAUGGGGGGACCAUCCUCCAAGGCUAAAUACUACUGACUGACCGAUAGUGAACUAGUACCGUGAGGGAAAGGCGAAAAGAACCCCGGAGAGGGGAGUGAAAUAGAUCCUGAAACCGUAUGCGUACAAGCAGUGGGAGCCCACUUGUUGGGUGACUGCGUACCUUUUGUAUAAUGGGUCAGCGACUUAUUUUCAGUGGCGAGCUUAACCGAAUAGGGGAGGCGUAGCGAAAGCGAGUCUUAAUAGGGCGUCUAGUCGCUGGGAAUAGACCCGAAACCGGGCGAUCUAUCCAUGGGCAGGUUGAAGGUUGGGUAACACUAACUGGAGGACCGAACCGACUACCGUUGAAAAGUUAGCGGAUGACCUGUGGAUCGGAGUGAAAGGCUAAUCAAGCUCGGAGAUAGCUGGUUCUCCUCGAAAGCUAUUUAGGUAGCGCCUCAUGUAUCACUGUAGGGGGUAGAGCACUGUUUCGGCUAGGGGGUCAUCCCGACUUACCAAACCGAUGCAAACUCCGAAUACCUACAAGUGCCGAGCAUGGGAGACACACGGCGGGUGCUAACGUCCGUCGUGAAAAGGGAAACAACCCAGACCGUCAGCUAAGGUCCCAAAGUCAUGGUUAAGUGGGAAACGAUGUGGGAAGGCUUAGACAGCUAGGAGGUUGGCUUAGAAGCAGCCACCCUUUAAAGAAAGCGUAAUAGCUCACUAGUCGAGUCGGCCUGCGCGGAAGAUGUAACGGGGCUCAAACCAUGCACCGAAGCUACGGGUAUCACUUAGGUGAUGCGGUAGAGGAGCGUUCUGUAAGCCUGUGAAGGUGAGUUGAGAAGCUUGCUGGAGGUAUCAGAAGUGCGAAUGCUGACAUGAGUAACGACAAUGGGUGUGAAAAACACCCACGCCGAAAGACCAAGGUUUCCUGCGCAACGUUAAUCGACGCAGGGUUAGUCGGUCCCUAAGGCGAGGCUGAAAAGCGUAGUCGAUGGAAAACAGGUUAAUAUUCCUGUACUUCUGGUUAUUGCGAUGGAGGGACGGAGAAGGCUAGGCCAGCUUGGCGUUGGUUGUCCAAGUUUAAGGUGGUAGGCUGAGAUCUUAGGUAAAUCCGGGAUCUUAAGGCCGAGAGCUGAUGACGAGUUGCCAUUAGGCGACGAAGUGGUUGAUGCCAUGCUUCCAAGAAAAGCUUCUAAGCUUCAGGUAACCAGGAACCGUACCCCAAACCGACACAGGUGGUUGGGUAGAGAAUACCAAGGCGCUUGAGAGAACUCGGGUGAAGGAACUAGGCAAAAUGGCACCGUAACUUCGGGAGAAGGUGCGCCGGUGAGGGUGAAGGACUUGCUCCGUAAGCCCAUGCCGGUCGAAGAUACCAGGCCGCUGCGACUGUUUAUUAAAAACACAGCACUCUGCAAACACGAAAGUGGACGUAUAGGGUGUGACGCCUGCCCGGUGCCGGAAGGUUAAUUGAUGGGGUUAGCUAACGCGAAGCUCUUGAUCGAAGCCCCGGUAAACGGCGGCCGUAACUAUAACGGUCCUAAGGUAGCGAAAUUCCUUGUCGGGUAAGUUCCGACCUGCACGAAUGGCGUAACGAUGGCGGCGCUGUCUCCACCCGAGACUCAGUGAAAUUGAAAUCGCUGUGAAGAUGCAGUGUAUCCGCGGCUAGACGGAAAGACCCCGUGAACCUUUACUAUAGCUUUGCACUGGACUUUGAAUUUGCUUGUGUAGGAUAGGUGGGAGGCUUUGAAGCGUGGACGCCAGUUCGCGUGGAGCCAACCUUGAAAUACCACCCUGGCAACUUUGAGGUUCUAACUCAGGUCCGUUAUCCGGAUCGAGGACAGUGUAUGGUGGGUAGUUUGACUGGGGCGGUCUCCUCCUAAAGAGUAACGGAGGAGUACGAAGGUGCGCUCAGACCGGUCGGAAAUCGGUCGUAGAGUAUAAAGGCAAAAGCGCGCUUGACUGCGAGACAGACACGUCGAGCAGGUACGAAAGUAGGUCUUAGUGAUCCGGUGGUUCUGUAUGGAAGGGCCAUCGCUCAACGGAUAAAAGGUACUCCGGGGAUAACAGGCUGAUACCGCCCAAGAGUUCAUAUCGACGGCGGUGUUUGGCACCUCGAUGUCGGCUCAUCACAUCCUGGGGCUGAAGCCGGUCCCAAGGGUAUGGCUGUUCGCCAUUUAAAGUGGUACGCGAGCUGGGUUUAGAACGUCGUGAGACAGUUCGGUCCCUAUCUGCCGUGGACGUUUGAGAUUUGAGAGGGGCUGCUCCUAGUACGAGAGGACCGGAGUGGACGAACCUCUGGUGUUCCGGUUGUCACGCCAGUGGCAUUGCCGGGUAGCUAUGUUCGGGAAAGAUAACCGCUGAAAGCAUCUAAGCGGGAAACUUGCCUCAAGAUGAGAUCUCACUGGAACCUUGAGUUCCCUGAAGGGCCGUCGAAGACUACGACGUUGAUAGGUUGGGUGUGUAAGCGCUGUGAGGCGUUGAGCUAACCAAUACUAAUUGCCCGUGAGGCUUGACCAU
Molecule: ribosomal RNA, 2894 nt
Filed under: Pseudomonas asplenii
Lineage: Bacteria; Pseudomonadati; Pseudomonadota; Gammaproteobacteria; Pseudomonadales; Pseudomonadaceae
Description: bacterial LSU rRNA
Rfam family: Bacterial large subunit ribosomal RNA
Source: RNAcentral